RNAcentral lists this long non-coding RNA (521 nucleotides) under Cervus hanglu yarkandensis (Yarkand deer). Its description in RNAcentral is "lncRNA (ENSCHYG00000011986.1)". Lineage: Eukaryota; Metazoa; Chordata; Mammalia; Artiodactyla; Cervidae. The record is from RNAcentral.
UCCCAGACCCCUCUCAGGCCAGGCAAAGACAACGAACGAGGUAGCAGACGGAGGACUGAGUGGUGUGCCCCCAGCCAGGCAAAAACCAGAGAUGCGCUGAGCACCACCGCCGGAACAGCGGCUGCGGAUCCCGGCACGGUCCAGGCACUCAGACCGGGAGCGAGGCAGCAACACCCACAAGCACAGAGCAAGUCGGGGCGCCCAGCGCGAGUGACGGGGGACAGGCAUCCAGCCAGGCUCCGGUUGAAGAACUCAAUUUCUCUCCAUGUUAACAUCACUGGAGAAACAUUACCAGAGGAGGACAAAAGGGUAAGUGUUGGCUAUCUGCUCAAUGCUAGACCUUAUACACGAGUCUCUUUACAAAUAAUGAGUCAUAACAUCUCAGGAUAUCCCUUUAAGUUGAGUAUUUUUAUUGCCUUUUGACAGACGACGACUGAGACUAAGAGAAAGGAAACAACUUUUCAAAGCAACACAGUCACAGCAGGAUUGCUCAUUGAUCCAAUGAACAAUUUGGGCUUAAC